CAGUAGCCGCGGGAAUACGAAGGGUGCAAGCGUUAAUCGGAAUUACUGGGCGUAAAGCGUGCGUAGGCGGAUUUUUAAGUCAGGGGUGAAAUCCCGAGGCUCAACCUCGGAACUGCCUUUGAUACUGGAGAUCUUGAGUUCGGAAGAGGUUGGUGGAACAGCUAGUGUAGAGGUGAAAUUCGUAGAUAUUAGCUAGAACACCAGUGGCGAAGGCGGCCAACUGGUUCGAUACUGUCGCUGAGGUGUGAAAGCGUGGGGAGCAAACAGGAUUAGAUACCCCCGUAGUCCCUGUCUCUUAUAC
RNAcentral lists this ribosomal RNA (301 nucleotides) under uncultured bacterium. RNAcentral's name for it is "partial 16S ribosomal RNA". It matches the Rfam family "Bacterial small subunit ribosomal RNA", at positions 509 to 807 of the family's 1533-position model. The record is from RNAcentral.